This 253-nucleotide ribosomal RNA is filed under the name uncultured bacterium. Its description in RNAcentral is "partial 16S ribosomal RNA". It matches the Rfam family "Bacterial small subunit ribosomal RNA", at positions 524 to 776 of the family's 1533-position model. The record is from RNAcentral.
UACGUAGGGGGCAAGCGUUGUUCGGAAUUACUGGGCGUAAAGGGCGCGUAGGCGGCCCAGCAAGUCGGGAGUGAAAGCCCGGGGCUCAACCCCGGAAUGGCUUUCGAAACUGCUGAGCUAGAGUACAGAAGGGGCAACCGGAAUUCCCAGUGUAGCGGUGAAAUGCGUAGAUAUUGGGUAGAACACCUGAGGCGAAGGCGGGUUGCUGGGCUGAUACUGACGCUGAGGCGCGAAAGCCAGGGGAGCAAACGGG